Molecule: ribosomal RNA, 549 nt
Filed under: uncultured bacterium
Lineage: Bacteria
Description: bacterial SSU rRNA
Rfam family: Bacterial small subunit ribosomal RNA
Source: RNAcentral
UGGGGAAUAUUGGACAAUGGGGGAAACCCUGAUCCAGCGACGCCGCGUGUGUGAAGAAGGCCUGCGGGUUGUAAAGCACUUUUAGUGGGGACAAAAAGCCAUUGAUUAAUACUUGGUGGUCUUGAUUUAACCCAAAGAAAAAGCACCGGCUAACUCUGUGCCAGCAGCCGCGGUAAUACAGAGGGUGCGAGCGUUAAUCGGAAUUACUGGGCGUAAAGCGCGCGUAGACGGUUUUGUAAGUCAGAUGUGAAAUCCCUGGGCUCAACCUGGGAACUGCAUUUGAAACUGCAUGGCUAGAGUAUCGAAGAGGGAAGUGGAAUUUCCGGUGUAGCGGUGAAAUGCGUAGAUAUCGGAAGGAACACCAGUGGCGAAAGCGACUUCCUGGUCGAAUACUGACGUUCAUGUGCGAAAGCGUGGGGAGCAAACAGGAUUAGAUACCCUGGUAGUCCACGCCAUAAACGAUGACAACUAGAUGUUGGGAGGGUCUGCCUCUCGGUGUCGCAGCUAACGCGUUAAGUUGUCCGCCUGGGGAGUACGGCCGCAAGGUUG